GGAGGAGGGUAAAGGAAUCCACGUCCCAAGCAGAGAAGCAGCUUUCCCUACACAGCACAGGACACGGUCCGCGCACAGAAGCCGCAGGAGACGCAGGCACAGGGGCUGGGGAGAAUCCUUGCUGGGCCCUCGCCGUCCAUGCGCCGCCUCCCUCUGCCCGGUGUCUGGUGUCAGCCUCCUGCCUGGCAGAGGAACUCCAGCCCCUGCUCCCCGAAGCUCCUCCAGGCCUUCUGCUUCCCUGACUCGGAAUGGGCCCGCUGUCCAGUGGGUACAAGGCUGGUCUCCCCGCCCACUGGUGACGACGUAAAGAUCCAGCUCAGCCUGGUUUCCCCUGGUGAUGAUAUCUUGCGACUCGUCUUUCUCCAGGAAAACAGGGACCGCUCUCCGCCUACAGGUCUCUUCCACAGACCUAUCUUGUUUUCACCCCCUGUCUCUUUUGGUUCAGUCUUUUCGCUCAUACAAACAAGGAAGUCGCCCCUAGCCCAGCCGCGGCUCCUUAGCUGGAGGCGGGCCCGGGGGUGGAGUCAACCGCGGUGGCCACGCCUCCUGGGAAAGGGCAGGGCAUGCAAAUUCGAAAUGAAAGCCCGGAAACCCCGGAACUAGAACUGGUAUCUCUUCAACUACCUGUGAAAACUGAUGUGAUGAAAAGGGGAAUUUGAAGGAGCCAUUCCAGAAGACAGGGCGAAAACUGAAGUGCAAUCAGGGCCAAGAAAAACAGAAAUAGCAGGACCUGGAGUUGCAUAGGUUGAAUAGUUGAAUAGGCUGCUCUCCUCAGCUGGCAGGAAACCUGGCAGCCUCCUGGUGCCCAAGGACUGAAAACCUUAGAAGCACCUGGAGUUGGCAGCCUUGGCAUGGUCAGGUUGGCACCUCUGGAGGUGCCCAGGCUUCCCUGGCAGCAUUGUGAGCAGUGGAUGGUGUUGAAGGGCAGCCAGAGGAGGAAUGGAACACAUGCUCCUUGCUAACCACACGGACAAGGCCACGUUCACAGGUACACAAAGGCAACGCAGUUGCUCAGGUGCUUCGGUAUCACAGCCAAGACCCCUUCGGGGGAAGCUAGUCGGAUACUGGGACCCACAUUCCAGACUACUGAGCCGCGGUCGCGCCCUCGGCUCCGUUUCUGCUCCCUCCACCCCACGAGGACGGGGGUGGAAGGCCACCUUCGAUGGGUGCAUCCUCCACGAUGACCUGCUAACAAAGGUGCAUGGAUUUCAGAGUCUGAUUGGCCUACAACAGCAUUUGGCUUGUGGAGACAGUGGUUCCCUGAUGAAAAACUGCCAUGAUGUAAGGAAGAGCCUGUCAGAGCGAGGCUGGGGUGCUGCGUGUUGGGGAGGUGGAGGUGUGGCUUCCCGGGAGAAGCUCCACCCGCUGGCUGAGUCUGGCACAUAAACCAGUCUGUGAGGGGAUGGAUGUGGGUGUAAUGGGGGCAAUUACAGUAGGAAGGAGCCCACGUGGAGCCUGCAUUCUCUGGGACAGGGCAUUACUGCAUUCUCUGGGACAGGCUAAGGCCCAGAUCCUACCUUCCCAGGUGGCUGGAUGGGUCAUAGAUGUAUGAACCGGUCCCCUCAUUUUCUGAUUGCCCUGUGCUUAACGUUUCUGUACCUUUACUGAGGCUCUUUCCUCCAACUCCAGUGCCCAGACCCCCCUUCUCCUGAACAUGAAUGCCUGUCCAUGGAAAUUCGAGUCUCUCUCUCUCACCCAGGCUGGAGUGCAGUGAUGCAAUCUCAACUCACUGCAACCUCUGCCUCCCAGGUUCAAGUGAUUCUUGUGCCUCAGCCUCUGGAGUAUCUAGGAUCACAGGUGCGUGCCACCAUGUCUGGCUAAUGUUUUGUAUUUAUAGUAGAGAUGGGUUUCGACAUAUUGGCCAGGCUGGUCUUGAUCUCCUGGCCUCAAAGUGAUCUACCCACCUGGGCCUCCCAAAUUGCUGGGAUUACAGUUGUGAGCCACCACACCCAGCCUGUCCCUGAAAUUCUAAUGAAAUGUGCGAUAAAGUUGUUUUGUUUUUCUUUUUGUUUUCCCUUCUUGGCAAAGCCUGGUGUUUCUAUUUUAGUGGAUUUGCCUGGCACUGAGGACUGCUAUGGUGGUCUUCAGAGGCUCCUGGUAUUGACUGCUUGUGAAACCGCUUUUGCAAAAUUAUGACUGAGACAGUGAAAGAGAUCUAACUUAACCGACCCAAUCUUGCUUCUAACCUCCAAAUUGUCCUUAUUCAUUCCUGAGCAUAGCCUGAACUAACUUUGGGAGAAGCUUAGUUUAUAUUUUAUUUUAUAGUUUAAAACAAAGAUGUUAACAGCCCUUUCCCAAGGCAGACUUCCUUCUUGCCUGGGGACUAGGUUGCCUUUGGAGGACUAACAUUAGCCACGAGAUUAGAAAUUAUGGGCUGGGCCUCGUGGCUCACCCCUGUAAUCCCAGCACUUUGGGAGGCCACGGCAGGUAGAUCACCUGAGGUCAGGAGUUCAAGACCAGCCUGGCCAACGUGGUGAAACCCCAUCUCUACUAAAGAAUACAAAAAUUAGCCGGUUAUGGUGGCACAUGCCUAUACUGCCAGCUACUUGGGAAGCUGAGGUGGGAGGAUCGCUUGAACCUGGGAGGCGGCGUGGAGGUUGCAGUGAGCCAGGAUCUUGCCACUGCACUCCAGCUUGGGCGACAGAGUGAGACUCUGUCUCAAAAAAAAAAAGUUUAGAAAUUAUGCUUUAGGAGUCAUGCAGCUGGAGGCUACAAGAUUCUGACCCUCCCUAAACUGCUCCUAAGAUCAGUGCUUGAGAUAUUUUGCAGACCCUGCACUUGAUGGAUCAGCUGGCACCACCCAGACUGAUUAACUGGCUCAUGUGAUCUUGUGGUCCCCACCCAGGAACUUAAUCAGCACAAGGAGACAGCUUCAACUCCCUAUGAUUUCAUCCCUGACCAAUCAGCACUCCUGGGCUCACUGGCUUCCCCCUACCCACCAAGUUGUCCUUAAAAAGUCUGCUCCCCAAAUGCUCGGGUAGACUGAUUUGGGUAAUAAUAAAACUCCGGUCUCCCACACAGCCA
Long non-coding RNA from Homo sapiens (human), 3024 nucleotides. RefSeq annotates it as long independently transcribed non-coding RNA 910. The record is from RefSeq and is marked validated. The transcript has 4 exons. Lineage: Eukaryota; Metazoa; Chordata; Mammalia; Primates; Hominidae.